Molecule: unclassified non-coding RNA, 356 nt
Filed under: soil metagenome
Description: partial contains 5.8S ribosomal RNA, internal transcribed spacer 2, and large subunit ribosomal RNA
Rfam family: 5.8S ribosomal RNA (bases 1-120)
Source: RNAcentral
GAUGAAGAACGUAGUGAAAUGCGAUAAGUAAUGUGAAUUGCAGAAUUCAGUGAACCAUCGAAUCUUUGAACGCACAUUGCGCCCGCCGGUAUUCUGGCGGGCAUGCCUGUUCGAGCGUCAUUUCAACCCCUCAGGCCCCCGCGCGGGGCCUGGCGUUGGGGACCGGCCCCGCCACCCAGUGGCGGCCGCACCCGAAAUCCAGUGGCGGCCACGCCGCGGCUUCCUCUGCGCAGUAGCAAUCGCCUCGCAGCUGGGACGCGGCGCGGCCACGCCCCCACGCAACGAGCACCUUCGUGGUCUGACCUCGGAUCAGGUAGGAGUACCCGCUGAACUUAAGCAUAUCAAUAAGCGGAGGA